GGAGCCGUAGCCGGUUUGGUAAGUUCUUGGUUAAAUCUGACAGCUUAACUGUCAGCGUGCUAAGAAGACUGCCUUACUAGGGGGCGGGAAAGGUCUGAGGUACUCCAGGGGUAGCGGUGAAAUGUGAUAAUCCUUGGGGGACCACCAGUGGCGAAGGCCGUCAGACCUGGAACGCGCCCGUCGGUGAGGGUCGAAAGCUAGGGGAGCGAACGGGAUCAGAUACCCCGGUAGUCCUAGCUGUAAACGAUGCGUGCUAGGUGUUGGUAGGGCUAUGAGCUGUAUCAGUGCCGUAGGGAAACUGUUAAGCACGCCGCCUGGGAAGUACGCUCGCAAGAGUGAAACUUAAAGGAAUUGGCGGGGGAGCACCACAAGGGGUGAAGCCUGCGGUUCAAUUGGACUCAACGCCGGGAAACUUACCGGGGGCGACAGCAGAAUGAAGGUCAGGCUGACGACCUUACCAGACAAGCUGAGCGGAGGUGCAUGGCCGUCGCCAGUUCGUGCCGUGAGGUAUCCUGUUAAGUCAGGCAACGAACGAGACCCACAUGUCUAGUUGCCAGCAAGAGGCUUCGGCUUCGUUGGGAACGGUAGACAGACUGCCAUCGUACAGAUGGAGGAAGGGGUGGGCACGGC
This 630-nucleotide ribosomal RNA is filed under the name uncultured archaeon. RNAcentral describes it as "bacterial SSU rRNA". It matches the Rfam family "Archaeal small subunit ribosomal RNA", at positions 515 to 1142 of the family's 1478-position model. The record is from RNAcentral.